This is a long non-coding RNA of Triticum dicoccoides, 366 nucleotides long. RefSeq lists it as uncharacterized. The record is from RefSeq and is a predicted model, not a curated record. NCBI's taxonomy places the organism in Eukaryota, Viridiplantae, Streptophyta, Magnoliopsida, Poales, Poaceae. The transcript has 2 exons.
UAUUUUGCUAACUUGCAUUUGUGACUGUUUAUUCCUGAAGACAUGGGACGUGCCAAGUUGCCAACUCUGAUACUCCUUCUACUACACUUUCCACUUCUUUUAGUUCCUGGCUCACAUACCAAGAUAUGUAGAGUAUACAACGUGAGCUAUACCACCCCUUUAUGCAAGCCGCGUCAAUGUGUUGAGGCAUGCCACAAGGAGGGGUUUCCCCAAGGGUGGUGUUACAUAUUAGGUACUAUGCACAUUAUAAUUUUGUGUGUGUGCGAAAAACAGUGCUGAAAAAAACGUGACGCAACUCCCGCAGGAUGUGUGAUGUAAUAAGUAAUAAGGUUGUGCUGUAUGAUGAAGUGACGUUGGGCACCAGCA